RNAcentral lists this ribosomal RNA (433 nucleotides) under uncultured bacterium. RNAcentral describes it as "partial 16S ribosomal RNA". It matches the Rfam family "Bacterial small subunit ribosomal RNA", at positions 29 to 507 of the family's 1533-position model. The record is from RNAcentral.
AAUGAACGCUGGCGGCAUGCCUAACACAUGCAAGUCGAACGAACCCACCGGGACCUUUCGCGCACGGCUGCGUCACGCGUCGGAACCUGCACUCAUGUUCGGACUAACUCUCCGACGGGGGUGCUAUCACCGGAUAAUGUCUACUGACCAAAGAUUUAUCGCCUUUGGUUGUGCGCUAGUUGAAUUCGCUUGUUGGUAGGGUAAAAGCUUACGAAGGCGCGGAUUCAUAGCUGGUCUGUGAGGAUGAUUAGCCACACUGGGAGUGAGACGCGGCCCGGAAUCUUACGGAAGGCAGGAGAGGGGGAUAGUGCACAAUGGGCGGAGGCAUGAUGGUGCUAUGCCGGGUGAAUGAUGAAGUCCUUAGAGUUGUAAAGCUCUUUUAACCGUGAUGAUAAUGACAGUACCUGGAGAGUAAGCCCCGGCUAACUACGUG